UGAAAUUUAUCAAUAAAAACAAAUUUAUAUUUCAAAGGGAAUGUAUUAAAAUGGUUUAACUUUCAAAACAAAACAAAACAGUGUCCUCAUACUUAAACCAAAAAAAAGAUAGCAGGCACUGUGGAGGUUAACAGAAAGUCUUCUAGAGCCAAGAGAAUCUGGGUUCAUAUCACAGUCCUGCCCCAGUUUUGUCCUCUUGAACACUUUUUCUGUGAUUGAGUUUCUACAUUUGUAAAGUGAGGAUGAUAAUAGUAUCUUUCAAAAAGUUGUGUGCAAUAAAUAAGUAAACAUAAGAAGUACUUAGAAAAGUAUUAGACCCUUAGUAGUAUUUGUAAUAGUUUGGAUCUGUAAUGUUCCCCAAAGGCUCUUGUGUUGAAGGGUUGGUCCCCAGCUUGUGGCACUAUUGGAGCGGUAUAGAAACUUAAGGAGGUGGAGCCUCAUUGGAAGAAGUAUCACUAGGGGUGUGCCCUUAAAAGAUGUAUUGAGACCUUGGCUGCUCCUUCCUCCUCCUCCUUCUCUCUCUCUCUCUCUCUCUCUCUCUGUGUGUGUGUGUGUGUGUGUGUGUGUGUCUUUCUGUGCCUCUCUCUCUUCCUGGACACCAUAAGGUGAGCAGUUUUUCUUCACCAGGCCUUUCUGCCAUAAUAUACUGUCCUCCAGAGGCCCAGAAACAGUGCCAUAUGACCAUGGACUGAAACCUAUGAGACUGUGAGCUAAAAUAAAUCUUUCCUCCUUUAAGUUGAUUUUCUCAAGUAUUUCAUCACAGAAAGCUAACAUAGUAAUCAAUUAAUGUUACUUUUAAAAGACAAAAUCUCCAUUAAUUCAUUACCAUGAAAUGUGUAAAGAAUCAAACUUCUUCUCAAAUAAAUGGCACACAAAUAUUUAAUUUAAAAAAUGUCCAGUUCUGGGAAUAAUUAUUAUUAAAAUUGGGAAAAUAAAUUAUCACUGUAUUAUUGGGAGGUGGAUUCUGUAUAAAAUGUGGAUUUAUUCAUUCAACAGAUAAUUAGACAUUACACAAAAUCGAGAGGUGCUGGAAAAAUGAAAGUUUGAAAAGAGGAUUGGAGGAUAAAAAACAUAGUCAAUCCUGGAAGCCAAGCACACAGCCCCAAGAUGGGACCACUAAGGUACAGGUAUACCAGCCACAGGUGUACAUAUAUAAAGACAAAAGAGGCAAAACUUGUCCUCAAGUACGGAGUUAGAUGAAAGACAUACUAUCUACAUAAAUAUAUAAUGCAGCCAUUCUCAAAGGGUGGGCCAGAGUUGAGUAUGAAUCCCCAGAUCAUUUCAAGAGAUCUUUGGUGAUAAAUUUACAUUUUAAAAUACUAAUAUGCUCAUUUACCUUUUUUGUUCUCUCAUGAAAGUAAAAUGUUCAAAAAGUUCAUAGAUAGGAGUUCAAAUUUCAUAUUGCAGCUAACCUUUGAGAAACUGACAUUCGACAAGUUUUACUAUGUCAAACAAGAAUAUUCAAAGUUAUCCAAUAAAGCUGUUAAAAUACUCCUUCCUUUUCCACUUAUAAUUGUGAGAAUGAGAUUUCUUUAUACUUCAACCAGCACAACAUAUCACAUCAAAUUGAAUGCAGAAGCUGAAAUGAAUCCAGCUGGUUUCUUUAAGUGAAUUUGCAUAAUGCAAAAAAAUAACACUUCUCUCACAUUUUGUUUUGGGUAAAAUAUAUUUAUUCUUCAUUAAAAUAUAUUAUUUAUGUUAGCAUGUAAUUGUCUCUUAUAUUUAAUUUUUUUUUACAUUUCUGCUUUGAAUAUAAUAAAUAUUGGUAGGAAUAACCCACAUAACAAAAGCAUUGCCAUACUCUCUUAUUUUUUUAGGAGUAUGAAGGUGUCCUGACACAUGACAACUAAAUGCAAUAGGUUAUCCUGGAUUGGAUUGUGGCUGAGGGAAAAAAAAUGGUAUAGAAGAUUAUUGAAGCAUUUGGUAUAAUUUGAAUGUAGAUUGCAUAUUAGAUAAGAACACUGAAUCAGUGUUCAAUUUCCUAAUUUUGUUGAGUACAUAGUACUUGAUUAUAAAAAUGUCCUUUUUCUUUGCAAUUAUAUUUUUAAAAGUUUAAAAGGGGAAAAUUCUGUAAUACAUUCCCUUAUGAUUUUAUAGUGGAGACAAAAAUGAUAAAGCAAAUGUGACACAUUAGCAAUUGGUGAUUUGGGCUGAAGGUUCUAUGGGAAUUUUUCUUAAUGAUCUUGCAAAUUUGUGUGUGUGAAUUUAGUAAAGAUUAAAAUUGGGUGGUGUGCAUUGACACAUACCUGUAAUCCCCACUACUUGGGAGGCUAAGGCAAGGAAAAUUACAAGUUCAAAGCCAGCUUGGGCAUCUUAGUGAGACCCUAUAUCAAAAUAAAAUAAAAUAAAAUAAAAAGGGCUAGAGAGAUAGCUUGUUGAUAGAGCACUUUCCUAGCAUUUGUGAAGCCCUGGGUUCAGUCCCUAGUACCCUUACCCCCCAAAGAAAAUAACUAAUUAAAAAGGACUUAGGGCUUGGGAUGUAGCUCAGUUAUGGAGUGCUUGCCUAGAAUGCAUGAGCCCCUAGUUCAAUCCAUAAACACACACACACACACACACACACGUCUUGAGACCAAAAUGUUGGAAAAACAUUGUAGUCACCCCCAUUCAUACGUAGCCUGGAUUCCUAGUUUUAUGAGGUAACGUGGAGGUUUUUUGUUUUGUUUCCCUGCUAUUAACUUCAGGAAGGGAGAAAUGGGGAAAUUUAUUGCAUAGUAAAUAGUAACAAGUUAUUAUUUAGCAAUAGUAACUGAAGCAGAUUUUGUUACCUAGAAGUGAGAUGAAUAUCAUAACAAAAUAACAAAGUGAAGGAUGUAACUUCAGCUUUAGGACCAGGUGAAGUAGCAAGGAUGCCAAGGGAACCUAAAGGAGCAUCUUAGCAGAAGUCUCAAAGGCAUUCAGGAGGCUGUCGAUGAGGGAUUAAAGAGAGCUAAGCUAGAAACUGGAGGAAAAUACCCUUGUUAUGUAAUACCAGAAAGUCUGACCCAGGCUUCUGAGGGACAGGGAGUAAACAAAAACCAUUCCUAUUGUCACUUUUCUGAAUUACCCCCAGAAUCCAUGAGCAUUAACAAAAAAGGGAGGGGGUUCCUUUGUGCCAUUACAUUGGGAUUAUUUUCUUACACAGCAAUAUUAAUAGGCACAGACAGGAAUGAAAGAAAAAUGAAAGGAUUUUAAACAAAUACAUAUCUCCAUUUCUGCUGAGAGCCAUUGCCAAGUAGGAAUGACACAUGGCAAUUUCUUUGUCAGCCUACCCAAUGUUGCUUAGAGGAAGGACUCUCCAUAUUGACCCAGGUCAUUUGCAGUGACAUUGCAUGUAAGGUGACCUUGCUCAAGGACCAGGGCGGAUCCAGGUUUAGGGUGUAUCCUGCUGGGAUUAGGGAGUAUCCCGCUCCUUGGGUUUAGGGCGGUUCCAGGUGUAAGGUGUACCCUGCUGGGAAUAGGGUGUACUCUGCUGGGAAUAGGGCGUAUCCUGCUGCCUCAGGCACGCCCGCUCCUUGAGUUCCCCUUGAGUUCUCACUGGAUUCAGAGAGUAUUUGGGAUUUUGCCCAGAAUGUGAUUUUGGCCCAGCACGUGUGUGUAAGUGCCAGUGACAGUUCGAGAAUAAAGAGUUGCUGUUUGAAUCUACAAGGUGUUUGGUGGCUCGUGAUUUUGUGCCCAGCCAGACUGCGGCACAUUUCUUUCUUUUUUUUUUUUUUCUUUUUCUCUUGCAGUACUGGGGAUUGAACUCAGGGUCACUUUACCACUGAGUUACAUCCUCAUCCCUUUUUUUUCUUUUAAUAUUUAGUUUUUUAGUUGUAGUUGAACACAAUACUUUUAUUUUACUUAUUUAUUUUUAUGUGGUACUGAGGAUCGAACCCAGGGCCUCACACGUGCUAGGCAAGCACUCUACCACUGAGCCACAACCCCAGACCCACAUCCUCAUCCCUUUUUAUUUUUAUUUUAAGAUGGUCUUGCUAAGUUUCCCAGGCUGGCCUCAAACUUGGAUUCUCCAACCUCAGCCUCCUGAGUCACUAGGGUUAUGCCACCCUGUCUGGCUUCCCUUCCAUUUCUUGGACAACAUCAUAACCAACUGUGUUCUCAGAAUUUAUCUACAUUUUAAUAAUCACCUCCCAAUGCUGCUCUGCACACUUGCCAUCCUCUGAUGGCUUAAUAUGGUUAAGUAACAAAAUUCUAUCUAACCCCCAUUCAGACUCAAUUUUCAAAUUUCUAACCUGUGUUAGAUGCACUAUAUCUGGGUCUUAUGAAAUUAGGAAUGAACAGUUAUCUAUCUAAUCAACUCACUCAAAAUAUUAAAUAUGAAAGGUCUCUACUAGCAAAUAUCACUCAGGAAAUAUCUUGUUAUCUCCCCCCUUCUUGUUGUCACUUAGUAGGCAGCUGAAAAAAUUGCUUACCUUAUCUCCAAUAAUGUCUAGGCUGGAUAUAGUGGCAUACAUGUAUAGCCCCAGCAACUUAGGAGGCUGAGACAGGAAGAUUGUGAUUCCAAUGCUUGCCCAGGCAACAUAGUGAGACCCUGUCUCAAAAUAAAAAUUUUAAAAAGUUCUGAGGAUGUAAUUAGUGGCAGAGCACCACUGGGUUCAAUCCCCAUUACCACAAAUGAUGAUGCUAAUUAUGAUGGUGAUGAUGUCAUCUGCUGCAUCUCCAUCCUUGUACCCUUGAUCAGCCCCCUCUGUAAUAGUUCUCUGGGAACCUCCAUCCAGGUAUUAUAUCCUGGAAAACACUAUUUCAGUUAGCCUUCUGUAUUUUUUCUAGCAUUUAUACUGUGUUAGAUAUUGUAAGUUAUUUAAAGAUGAUUUAAAGUAUACAGGAAGAUGUGCACAGGUUAAAUGCAAAAAGUAUACCAUUUUACAUAAGGGACCUGAGCAUCCUCAGAUUUUUUUUUUAUCUGAUGGGGAUAGGGGCACAAUCCUGAAAGCAGUCUCUUAACACUAUGUUAACAUUUGUGCCAGAAAUCCUACAAGAUGAUAGCAUGGUAUAUUUGUUUUCAGUUACUGCAUAACAAGUAACCACAAACUUAGUUGCUUAAAACAACACAAAUUUCAUCUUUCACAAUUUGUGUGUGCAUCUGUGUGUGUCUGUGUGUGUUUACUGGAAAUUAAUCGUAGGGGGACUCUACCACUGAACCUGCCCUUUUUAUUUUGAGACAGGGUCUUGCUAAAUUGCCCAGACUGGCUUCAAACUUGCCUUCCUCUUGCUGCAGCCUCCCAAGUAGGAUUUCAGGUAUGCACCACCACACUGGCUCAUCUUUCACAAUUUCUAUGGGUCAACUAUCCAGGUCUCUGCUCAGAUCUUAUAAGGCUGAAAUUGGGGUAUCAGGUAGGGCCACUGUUUCAUGGGAAUGCUCAGAGUCAUUCGCCAGGCUGAUGCAAGUAGUUGGUAGAAUUCAGUCCCUUGCAGCUGUAGAACUCCUAGCAGCUUUGAUCAUCUUGAAGGUCAGCAGGCAAAAGCCUCUCUGACUUUUCUGCCUUCCAAGGGACUCACCUGAUUAAGUCAGUCCCCAUAGUAUAAAUUUCCCUUUUGAUAAACAUAAAGUUAAUGAUUAGUAGCCAAGUUUCAGGAGUGAUAUGUAUUAUGUUCAAGGGGAGAAGAUCAUGCAGGGUAUAUAUAACCAUCAAGGGUGGCAAUUAUCUUAGAACUUUACCUACUAAAUGGAUGAAAGAAAAUUUCAACAAUAGAUGGACUACAACAAUCCUAUAAGCAAACCUAUGUUAAACAGAUGUUAUCUUGGCUGCCCAGCAUGAAAGCCUCCUUAUUCUGUUAAGGGAACCACACUUCACUUUCAUUGACUGCCUCAUUAUUUGCAUGCAGUGUUAGCAAGACUGUCAGGUUGCUCCACAUUUGCCUUACCAAGGGGUGGACAAGUGAUUCAUGCUAAGCCAAAGCUACUCCUUGCCAGAAUUAGAAUCUUGAUAGGAAUAACAAAAAGGAUAAAAGCAGUUGAUAUUCAUCCAACAUAGCUACCAGAUUCCCUUUGCUUUUCCAGUACUUGCCUUUUUCCAAAGUUUUCUUUAGUUUUUCUUUCAAUUAUAUAAACUAUUCCCUGUUCUUCCAACAAAUUCCUUUCUUUUUCUGUAAUUUGUAAAACUUUUAGUGGGAGAAAUAAACCAAAGAUUACUUGACUCCCACUUCAAGCCUUGAUGAUAACAAAUGCAUAGUCCUCAGAGUCCUAACAAAGACUGAUAAGGCCAAAGAUGGCCUUGACUGGCUGGCUGUCACAUAUUUGUCUGACUGUCAUCGCCCCUCAUUCAUAGGGCAAUACAAGUGAGUUUCCUGAGCAGCAACUGUCUUGCCUGUUUGUGAUUUAACUUAGCAUCUUUCUUUGCAUCCUUAUCACUUAACUUUUUAUUGUACUAUUUAAAUAGUGCCACCUUUUCUCAUAAAAUAAGACUUUCUCAUAAAAGGAGUCAUUAAAUGAGCCUGACUAAACCAGAAGCAAUGUCAGCAUUUUACUGCCUUUACCCUUUCAAUCAAGCCCCUUCUGUCUCUUUCUCUAGUGCUCUCCCUGCUUUAUCUCUGUCAGUAGAAUGUAACCCCAGCUAACUGUUUAUAAUUUUUCCCACUUAUUUUGAUUGUUGAUCAAUGAGGACAGGGAUCUAAUUAUAUAUUUUUUAACUGAUGUUAAACCAUAAAUACAGAAAAGUUCAUCUUGAUGACACUUUAAUAAAGUAAACAUACACAGUAGAUAGUUACUUCUCAGAUCAAAUUAAGAAAUUAUUACUUCACCCCAGGGUAAUCUUGACUCUGACACAAUACAUCCAUUUUCUCUGGCUUUAAACUUCAUAUAAACAAAAUUUUAUAAUAUGAACUCAUGUUCAUCAAUAUCAUGCUUUGAGAUUAGUCCAUAUUGUGGGUUCAUUCUUAUUCUUUGUGGUACAUCAUUGUGACUAUUUAUUCUCUACAUUUAGGUGUUAUCCAGUUUCGAGGUUGUUAUGAUUUGAAUUGUGUCUCCCAGUAAAAUAUGUUGGUGUCCUACCCCCAGGUUCCUGUGACAAGGACAGAGUCUUUGCAGAUAUAAUCAAGUUAAAAUGAGGUCAUCAGAUUGGGCCUACAAUUCAAUAUGACUAAUGUUCAUAUAAGAAGAAGGAAAUUUGGACACAGACACAUAGAGAACACUAUGUGACAACAGAGGCAAGGACUGGAAUGAAGCAGGUAAUCCAAGGAAUUCCAGGGAUAUACAACCACCACCAGAAACUAGGAAGAGACUCUUGAUUUGUGACUCUACUGAUACCUUGAAUUUAGACCCUGCCCCCCAGAACUAUGACAGAAUAAAUUUCUCUUAUUUUAAACCAUUCA
RNAcentral lists this long non-coding RNA (7287 nucleotides) under Marmota monax (woodchuck). Lineage: Eukaryota; Metazoa; Chordata; Mammalia; Rodentia; Sciuridae. The record is from RNAcentral.